Molecule: unclassified non-coding RNA, 213 nt
Filed under: soil metagenome
Description: partial contains 5.8S ribosomal RNA, internal transcribed spacer 2, and large subunit ribosomal RNA
Source: RNAcentral
AACGCACGAGACCUGCGGACCUGCGGAGGGAUCAUUAACAAUUGGAUUGUUGACCCCAUCCACCUUGUGUGCAAACUCGAGAAAAAGCCUACUUUGGAGAGAUCAUUCUUUUGAUCUCUCCAGAGAGGUCAUCCCGAUCAAUCAUUUUUUCUUUUCUAUAAUCUAACAAAAAUAUAAAUUUAAAUAAAAAACAACUUUCAACAACGGAUCUCU